RNAcentral lists this ribosomal RNA (460 nucleotides) under uncultured bacterium. Its description in RNAcentral is "partial 16S ribosomal RNA". It matches the Rfam family "Bacterial small subunit ribosomal RNA", at positions 338 to 795 of the family's 1533-position model. The record is from RNAcentral.
CCUACGGGUGACAGCAGUGAGGAAUAUUGGUCAAUGGGAGAGAUCCUGAACCAGCCAAGCCGCGUGAGGGAAGACGGCCCUAUGGGUUGUAAACCUCUUUUGUCGGAGAACAAAACCCGGGACGUGUCCCGGACUGCGUGUAUCCGAAGAAAAAGCAUCGGCUAACUCCGUGCCAGCAGCCGCGGUAAUACGGAGGAUGCGAGCGUUAUCCGGAUUUAUUGGGUUUAAAGGGUGCGUAGGCGGAUCGUUAAGUCAGUGGUCAAAUUGAGGGGCUCAACCCCUUCCCGCCAUUGAAACUGGCGUUCUUGAGUGGAAGAGAAGUAUGCGGAAUGCGUGGUGUAGCGGUGAAAUGCGUAGAUAUCACGCAGAACCCCGAUUGCGAAGGCAGCAUGCCGGCUUCCGACUGACGCUGAAGCACGAAAGCGUGGGGAUCGAACAGGAUUAGAUACCCCUGGUAGUC